Molecule: ribosomal RNA, 253 nt
Filed under: uncultured bacterium
Lineage: Bacteria
Description: partial 16S ribosomal RNA
Rfam family: Bacterial small subunit ribosomal RNA
Source: RNAcentral
UACGAAGGGUGCUAGCGUUGUUCGGAAUCACUGGGCGUAAAGCGCGCGUAGGCGGCCAUUCAAGUCAGGGGUGAAAUCCCGGGGCUCAACCCCGGAAUUGCCUUUGAAACUGUAUGGCUGGAGUGUCGGAGGGGAUAGCGGAAUUCCUAAUGUAGAGGUGAAAUUCGUAGAUAUUAGGAGGAACACCGGUGGCGAAGGCGGCUAUCUGGACGACAACUGACGCUGAGGCGCGAAAGCGCGGGGAUCAAACAGG